UAAAUUAGAGUGAAUAAAUGAAGACUCGGCACAGCACUUCUGAAAGGUUGCUGACCCCUGCUCUAGUGUAUGCAGUUGAAUUUAUGGAGGCCCCAUCGCUGGCACCAGAAAAUGCUGCAGGGCCUGCUGCUGCCAACUGGAAGUGGAGCCCUCACAUUCCUGCUAACUUGGAAUACAGGCUGGAGUUCCACAUGGAUGUGUGGGAGAGCGGAUGAGAGUGGGGGCAGCAAUGUGAGUGGGGGCAGUUAACUCCUUGUGUGCUGGCUGUACUCAAUCAUGCUGUGGCAUAGCCAGAUUGUGAAGAUGAGAACAGAGAUGUUCCCCUUCUCCUCUGACAGCCCCCCAUCCCACUUUCAAGAUCUCCUACCUCUGGCUGUAGUUUUAGUAGAAAAGUAACAGGGGGGUCAUGGUGGAAAGGGCAAAUGCAUGGAACCAUAUGAUUAACCCCUCCCAUAAAUCAGUGGCCCCAGGACCUUCACCUCCCAGCACUCAGGACUUAGUGCCAGUAGUAGAGAGAUGCUCAGCUCUUCCUGUUCCAGUAGCACAGACCCCUCCUACUAGAGCUAGGAGACACUCUUCAUAUAGCCAUAGAGAACCUAUGGCACAGCUGAGCAGUUCUGCUUCUAUCCAGUAGAGGGAAGUGGUACACAUCUAUAAUCCUAGGUAUCUGACUGGGUGCUCCACUCAUUGCCAGGAUAGUACCUCCUCCUGGUCACACUGGGGAACAGCUCAUGAGGCCAGCACCCCCUUCCACCAUCUCUCCACACACUGCAGCCUCUUCAUGACUUGGCCCUCCUACCAGGUCACCCUAUAUCGUGUCCCCAUCCAGGGUACCAGAGUCUUCCUUCAGCAAACUUGGGCAAUCUUGUCAUUCACUGCUGCACAG
Chelonoidis abingdonii (Abingdon island giant tortoise) is the source of this 886-nucleotide non-coding RNA. The record is from RefSeq and is a predicted model, not a curated record. NCBI's taxonomy places the organism in Eukaryota, Metazoa, Chordata, Testudines, Testudinidae.